RNAcentral lists this ribosomal RNA (164 nucleotides) under uncultured bacterium. Its description in RNAcentral is "partial 16S ribosomal RNA". It matches the Rfam family "Bacterial small subunit ribosomal RNA", at positions 355 to 511 of the family's 1533-position model. The record is from RNAcentral.
UAGGGAAUCUUCCACGAUGGACGCAAGUCUGAUGGAGCAACGCCGCGUGAGUGAAGAAGGGUUUCGGCUCGUAAAGCUCUGUUGUUAAAGAAGAACGUGGGUAAGAGUAACUGUUUACCCAGUGACGGUAUUUAACCAGAAAGCCACGGCUAACUACGUGCCGG